This 321-nucleotide long non-coding RNA is filed under the name Brassica rapa (field mustard). Its description in RNAcentral is "long non-coding RNA (BRAP_LNC003739)". Lineage: Eukaryota; Viridiplantae; Streptophyta; Magnoliopsida; Brassicales; Brassicaceae. The record is from RNAcentral.
UUUGAAAUAGCCCUGAUAUUUCCUCAAGAAUUACCAUGAUAUGCCACUGAUCAUUAAUGGCAUUUUAGUCAAUUACACAAUGGUAUAACCAAAUUUACGCUUAACCGUUAACACAUAAUGAUGAUAAAUCGGAUUUCAUGGCAUCUCUCCUCUCCUCGGUGAAAAGUUUGUUCUUUUUUUUGUUUCAUCAAUUAUCAUCGGAUUUCAUUUCCGAUUAAUGUUUUGUUCUUUUUUUUUUGUCUGGUUCCUUUUCUCAGAGUUUCUUUUGUUCUGUUUGAUUGUUCUUUUGUUCUGUUUGAUAAAAAAAAAAUCCGAUUUGAA